Vicugna pacos (alpaca) is the source of this 3159-nucleotide non-coding RNA. NCBI's taxonomy places the organism in Eukaryota, Metazoa, Chordata, Mammalia, Artiodactyla, Camelidae. The record is from RefSeq and is a predicted model, not a curated record.
UUGUUACCUAGCAUUUCAGACUGGGAGAACCCGCUGGCCAAAGCGGGUGGGUGGAAAGCAUGCAGCUUUCUGCGUCUGGGGUUGGAACCCAGACUGGCGUCUUCAGAGUCUACAUCCAAGGCUGUCCCUCUGGAGGAUUUCUGGAAAACCGCUCAAACUUCUGUGGAAGGAUGGAAAGUCUUCCGAGGGUCACUGGCAGCCCUUCCACAGGCGUCUUUGCGUCAACGCUGGAGCCCCUCCCCCGGACGCGCGGGCAGCGGGGCGGAGCCUGGGCGGGGCCUUCGGCAGGGACCUCGGCGAAGGGAGCGCGCGAGUGUUGGACUGAGAGUCUUCAGAUGGAUUUUAAAAUUGAACACACUUGGGAUGAGUUUCCAGUGAAGCAUGAGCCAGUGUUUGUCAGGGUGAAUCCGGGUGAUGGAGGAGUGAUGAUGGAAAUUAGUGCUCCAUUUUUCAAUGAUCCUCCAGCCCCACUAGGAGAACCAGGAAAGCCUUUCAAUGAACUGUGGGAUUAUGAAGUUGUGGAAGCAUUUUUCUUGAACGACAUAACUGAACAGUAUUUAGAAGUUGAACUUUGUCCCCACGGACAGCAUUUGGUGCUUUUACUCUCUGGUAGAAGAAAUGUAUGGAAACAAGAACUUGAUCUAUCAUUCAAAGUGUCCAGAGGAGAGACAAAAUGGGAAGGUAAAGCUUAUCUUCCUUGGAGUUAUUUUCCACCAAAUGUGACAAAAUUCAAUUCAUUUGCAAUUCAUGGAUCAAAAGACAAAAGAAACUAUGAAGCUCUUUACCCUGUACCUCAGCAUGAACUGCAGCAAGGACAAAAACCUGAUUUGAACCAUUCAGGACCUUUAUAUUUAAUUUUGACAACAACCUCAGAGAGAAUUAUGUAUCUUGGAAUGCUUAUUUUUAAAGUUAAGGAAACUGAGGCCUUCAGAGAUUAAAUGUCUUGCCCAAGAUCAUACAGCUAAAAGGUGGAUUUGAACCUAGGAAGUUUGAUUCUGGAGACCAGGCACUCGUCAACUAUGCUGCAGCCUCUGAGUCAAAUUUUCAAAAGUAACCAAGAAAGAGAACAACUGCCAGCUGGAAGAGGAGAGUUGGAAUAUAGAAUUACCACCACAUGGGACAGUUUACCAGUGCUGCAAAAGCCUAUGACUCCCAAGUUUAGAUCUGGGGUCCAAGGCUUACUGAUGGACCUGAAUGCUCCUUUCUUUGAUGAUCCCCCAGCACCACAUUGUGAAGCAGGACAACCUUUUGAUGGACUCUGAAAGUAUGAAGGCACAGACAGCACCUGGUCUUACUGCUCUCCAGUGGUGAUGCAUUUGCAGUGUGGCUAAUGGCUACCAUAUUGGACAGUGAAGUUCUAGAGAAAGUAUCACAUAAAGAAAGAGCUCAGUUUACAAUUUAAAGUCAACAUUACCUGCAAGCAAUGGAAUGGGAUUACAUUUCUUCCUUGGGAAUAUUUUCCACCUGGUAUUGAUAAAAUGAAUUUAUAUGCAAUUCAUAUAUGGAAGAAUUUAUGAAGCCCUUUAUUCAACACCACAUGAAGAGAUUGAGGAUGGACAAGGGCCUAACUUGUAAGUAUGCAAAUAAUUUGAUUAUGUAUUUACUUUCAACUUUUACCUACAAUGAGUUGUGAGAGGGGGCAGAUAAGAGCUUUGACAACAACUCCUUAAGUUUUUUUUAAUAUCAGAAAGAUCUUCAUUGUAUUUCUGGUAAUAAGAAUAAGUAGCCUAUUCACAAAUAAGUGAUAUAUUAACCAAAUUUAUUUUAAAACAUUUUCUGAUUUAUAUUGUAUGAGCUAAUUGGAACUGAAAAUACCAGGGAACAAUUGUAAAUUAUUUGAGCUUUCUAAAAUGUAGAAUUAAAUCUACCAAGUAACCUGUUUUGUAUAUUUACAUUAUUUUCUCAGCCCUACAUAACUCCAACACAAAGUCCAAAUAUGGUUUACUUUUUGCAAGUAUUCCCUAUGUAUUAUAUUUUAUAAAUAUUUGAGAUUUUUGGUUUGAUACCCACUCAUUUCAGAUGCUGCAUAUUUUGAGGGAAGAGAUACUUUAAGCAUUCAUCAUUUUUUCACAGUACCUAAAAUUUAAAAACUACACAUACAUAUAAAAUUAUAAAUAUCUAAGCAUGUGUACUAUAUGUACAGUUUUUGAUAUUCUUUAUAUAUAGCACAGAUGAAUCAUUUUCAACAUUUUUGUUUGACCUAUUUUUCUAUACUUUAACAACUCUGUCAUUUCGAUCAACUCCCAUCUAAUUGAAAAUGAAUCUACAUAACUGUCAACUUGAAUCAACUUCCUUCAGGCUGUACUAAGCAUGGUACAGGACUAUAUGAUUUCUGUAAAAAAGCUUAUGUACUUUGAAAAUCCAUAGGUAAAUCUCAUUUUAUAGGAGAGUUAUAUGAAUGAAAGUAUUUAAUUAGCAUACAGUACUUCUGUGUGACUUGAGUGACUGUUUGUAGUAGUCAGGGACUCACAGAAACCACCAGUAAGACACGAGAGGAUACCUUUAUUAUUGCAUGAUGAACCUUAGAUUCAGACUAUCUGGAUAUGUCUUAUAAUGUGAACUCAACAAACUGCUCAUAUAAACUUUUUUAGGUGAGAUUUGAAUUAAGAAAAAAAUGUAUGUGUAUAUAUAAUUAUUAGCAUAGAAAGAAUGAUUUCUCAUUUCUCAAUGAAUAUUGUGGCAAGGUCUGCAUAUGUAUGCAUAAGAAAAAUAUAUGUGUAUAAAAAGAUUUGAUAUAUAUUAUAUCAUUUAAAAAUAAUAUAGCAGAUUAAUGAACAAUUUUUAAAGUAAUUAAAUAACAUAUAUGUAUUUCUUUUUAAUUUUCUUUGUAUUUAAUGAACAAAUAAAGUGUGGCUGUGUACUGAAUGCUUAAAAUUUGAAUUUUUUUUUCUAUGUGACCUGAAGCCAUCGCUUUGAGUAUUUUAAACCUUUCAACCUGAAGUGGAUUAUCGGAGACGACUGGGAGCAGCCAGACUCAGAGCUGUGGAAAGAGCUUUGCUGCGAUCCUUUACAUUCUGACAACACAGGUUAUAACUCAUAAGGAAAGGCACUCCAUAUACUGCCACCUUUUGGCCUCAGUUGGACAGCUGAAGUAAAAUCAUUGUCUGCUACCACUGUAAAUGUUCCAACAACAUGCCAGAAAUAAAUCAUUUAAUUGAA